AAUCAACGCUGGCGGCGUGCCUAACACAUGCAAGUCGCACGAGAAAGUGGAGCAAUCCAUGAGUACAGUGGCGCACGGGUGAGUAACACGUGAAUGAUCUACCUCCGAGUGGGGAAUAACUGAGAGAAAUCUUAGCUAAUACCGCAUAAUACCCACGGGUCAAAGCAGCAAUGCGCUUGGAGAGGAGUUCGCGGCCGAUUAGCUAGUUGGCGGGGUAAUGGCCCACCAAGGCGAUGAUCGGUAUCCGGCCUGAGAGGGCGCACGGACACACUGGAAC
Molecule: ribosomal RNA, 277 nt
Filed under: uncultured bacterium
Lineage: Bacteria
Description: partial 16S ribosomal RNA
Rfam family: Bacterial small subunit ribosomal RNA
Source: RNAcentral